RNAcentral lists this ribosomal RNA (527 nucleotides) under uncultured fungus. RNAcentral describes it as "eukaryotic LSU rRNA". The stretch from base 168 to 320 matches the Rfam family "5.8S ribosomal RNA". The record is from RNAcentral. Lineage: Eukaryota; Fungi.
AAAGAGUCAUUAUGGGCUUACACCCUAAUACUCCACCCUUUGUUUACAUUACCUUUGUUGCUUUGGCAGGCCCGUCCUUGUGACCACUGGCUUCGGCUGGUCCGCGCCUGCCAGAGAACCUAAAACUCUUGUUUAAUCAUAUUGUCUGAGUACUAUAUAAUAGUUAAAACUUUCAACAACGGAUCUCAUGGUUCCGGCAUCGAUGAAGAACGCAGCGAAAUGCGAUACGUAAUGUGAAUUGCAAAUUCAGUGAAUCAUCGAGUCUUUGAACGCACAUUGCGCCCCCUGGUAUUCCGGGGGGCAUGCCUGUCCGAGCGUCAUUGCUGCCCUCAAGCCCGGCUUGUGUGUUGGGCCCCGUCCUCCGAUCUCCGGGGGACGGGCCCGAAAGGCAGCGGCGGCACCGCGUCCGGUCCUCGAGCGUAUGGGGCUUUGUCACCCGCUCUGUAGGCCCGGCCGGCGCUUGCCGAUCAACCCAAAUUUUUAUCCAGGUUGACCUCGGAUCAGGUAGGGAUACCCGCUGAACUUAA